RNAcentral lists this non-coding RNA (44 nucleotides) under marine eukaryotic metagenome. Its description in RNAcentral is "serC leader". It matches the Rfam family "serC leader", at positions 3 to 44 of the family's 52-position model. From Rfam's summary of the family: This family is a putative regulatory RNA structure that is found upstream of the serC-serA operon in some alpha-proteobacteria. The final stem of the structure overlaps the ribosome binding site of the serC reading frame. The record is from RNAcentral.
AGCGGGCCACUCCUCCCCAACGAGGUGCGCCUAUUCUGUAAGGA